This 253-nucleotide ribosomal RNA is filed under the name uncultured bacterium. RNAcentral's name for it is "partial 16S ribosomal RNA". It matches the Rfam family "Bacterial small subunit ribosomal RNA", at positions 524 to 776 of the family's 1533-position model. The record is from RNAcentral.
UACGUAGGGUGCGAGCGUUGUCCGGAAUUAUUGGGCGUAAAGGGCUCGUAGGCGGUUUGUCGCGUCGGGAGUGAAAAUCCAGGGCUUAACUCUGGACUGGCUUCCGAUACGGGCAGACUAGAGGUAUGCAGGGGAGAACGGAAUUCCUGGUGUAGCGGUGAAAUGCUUAGAUAUCGGGAGGAACACCAGUGGCGAAGGCGGCCGGCUGGGGGUGCCCUGACGCUGAGGCGCGAAAGCGUGGGGAGCGAACCGG